UGAAGUAAUAUUGAGGACUGGUGGCAUAUGAGUCAAGGAUGAGCAAUGCUUACCUAGAACUCCGAAGUCCAA
Small nucleolar RNA from Physeter macrocephalus (sperm whale), 72 nucleotides. The record is from Ensembl. Lineage: Eukaryota; Metazoa; Chordata; Mammalia; Artiodactyla; Physeteridae.